UAGGGAAUCUUCCGCAAUGGACGAAAGUCUGACGGAGCAACGCCGCGUGAGUGAAGAAGGAUUUCGGUUCGUAAAACUCUGUUGUUAGGGAAGAAAAAAUGUAUAGUAACUAUAUACAAAAGAGACGGUACCUAACCAGAAAGCCACGGCUAACUACGUGCCAGCAGCCGCGGUAAUACGUAGGUGGCAAGCGUUGUCCGGAAUUAUUGGGCGUAAAGCGCGCGCAGGUGGUUUAGAAAGUCUGAUGUGAAAGCCCACGGCUCAACCGUGGAGGGUCAAUGGAAACUAAUAAACUUGAGUGCAGGAGAGAAAAGUGGAAGUCCUAGUGUAGCGGUGAAAUGCGUAGAGAUUAGGAGGAACACCGGUGGCGAAAGCGGCUUUUUGGCCUGAAACUGACACUGAGGCGCGAAAGCGUGGGGAGCAAACAGG
Molecule: ribosomal RNA, 429 nt
Filed under: Verrucomicrobiota bacterium
Lineage: Bacteria; Pseudomonadati; Verrucomicrobiota
Description: Verrucomicrobia bacterium partial 16S ribosomal RNA
Rfam family: Bacterial small subunit ribosomal RNA
Source: RNAcentral